AUUGAACGCUGGCGGCAUGCCUUACACAUGCAAGUCGAACGGCAGCACGGGAGCAAUCCUGGUGGCGAGUGGCGAACGGGUGAGUAAUAUAUCGGAACGUGCCCAGUCGUGGGGAUAACGUAGCGAAAGCUACGCUAAUACCGCAUACGAUCUACGGAUGAAAGCGGGGGGAUCGCAAGACCUCAUGCUCAUGGAGCGGCCGAUAUCUGAUUAGCUAGUUGGUGGGGUAAAGGCCUACCAAGGCAUCGAUCAGUAGCUGGUCUGAGAGGACGACCAGCCACACUGGAACUGAGACACGGUCCAGACUCCUACGGAGGCAGCAGUGGGGAAUUUUUGGACAAUGGGGGCAACCCUGAUCAGCAAUGCCGCGUGAGUGAAGAAGGCCUCGGUUGG
This 393-nucleotide ribosomal RNA is filed under the name uncultured bacterium. RNAcentral describes it as "bacterial SSU rRNA". It matches the Rfam family "Bacterial small subunit ribosomal RNA", at positions 30 to 426 of the family's 1533-position model. The record is from RNAcentral.